AGUUAAUACUAGAAAGUAAAGUGUUUUGAAAACACCGAAAAGAGGUUUGAUUCCCCUAUUAACUU
RNAcentral lists this transfer RNA (65 nucleotides) under Byrsotria rothi. RNAcentral's name for it is "tRNA-Ser". The record is from RNAcentral. Lineage: Eukaryota; Metazoa; Arthropoda; Insecta; Blattodea; Blaberidae.